UGUGCCCCUAUAUUGAAAUUAAAAUUUCAAUAUACCUUUUUCUGGAAAAAAAAUCCCAGAAUGUCCUACUUUUUUCUUUGGACUCGCUCAUUCAAUGGACGAGUUGGUGAAGCGUUGGAUUUGUUGGGUAGACUCGGCCAAUGGUUGACCGAGCUGAUGAAUGAGACUUUAUUUUUUAUUUUUUAUUUAUUUUAAAUAUAAUUUUAUAAUUUAAUUACCUUAUUAAAAUUAUUAUUAAAUAAUUUUAUAUUUAAAUAAUAAAAAUGAUUUUUUUU
This 275-nucleotide long non-coding RNA is filed under the name Lathyrus oleraceus (garden pea). Its description in RNAcentral is "Pisum sativum (pea) long non-coding RNA (PSAT_LNC004546)". Lineage: Eukaryota; Viridiplantae; Streptophyta; Magnoliopsida; Fabales; Fabaceae. The record is from RNAcentral.